This 446-nucleotide ribosomal RNA is filed under the name uncultured bacterium. Its description in RNAcentral is "partial 16S ribosomal RNA". It matches the Rfam family "Bacterial small subunit ribosomal RNA", at positions 338 to 795 of the family's 1533-position model. The record is from RNAcentral.
CCUACGGGGGGCAGCAGUCGAGAAUCAUUCACAAUGGGGGAAACCCUGAUGGUGCGACGCCGCGUGGGGGAAUGAAGGUCUUCGGAUUGUAAACCCCUGUCAUGUGGGAGCAAAUUAAAAAGAUAGUACCACAAGAGGAAGAGACGGCUAACUCUGUGCCAGCAGCCGCGGUAAUACAGAGGUCUCAAGCGUUAUUCGGAAUCACUGGGCGUAAGGCGUGCGUAGGCUGUUUCGUAAGUCGUGUGUGAAAGGCGCGGGCUCAACCCGCGGACGGCACAUGAUACUGCGAGACUAGAGUAAUGGAGGGGGAACCGGAAUUCUCGGUGUAGCAGUGAAAUGCGUAGAUAUCGAGAGGAACACUCGUGGCGAAGGCGGGUUCCUGGACAUUAACUGACGCUGAGGCACGAAGGCCAGGGGAGCGAAAGGGAUUAGAUACCCGGGUAGUC